This is a long non-coding RNA of Pollicipes pollicipes, 170 nucleotides long. RefSeq lists it as uncharacterized. The transcript is spliced from 3 exons. NCBI's taxonomy places the organism in Eukaryota, Metazoa, Arthropoda, Thecostraca, Pollicipedomorpha, Pollicipedidae. The record is from RefSeq and is a predicted model, not a curated record.
GCCCGACGCCCGCAAAGAUGUGCCGCCCACCUUCCAGGAGCAGCGCUGUAACCCGCACAACAACCCCUUCUUCCGGGAGCAGAUGCUGCAGGCGAUGGAGCAGAUGGGUAUGCAGCAGCAGCAGCAGCGCCUGCCGCCGCUACCGGCCGGGCCGCGGCAGGUGGUGCCGG